This 30-nucleotide non-coding RNA is filed under the name Homo sapiens (human). The record is from RNAcentral. Lineage: Eukaryota; Metazoa; Chordata; Mammalia; Primates; Hominidae.
UCCCCAAGAACAUUCCAUGCAACCCCUUGU